GUGCCAGCAGCCGCGGUAAUACGUAGGUGGUCAAGCGUUGUCCCGGAAUUAUUGGGCGUAAAGCGCGCGCAGGCGGUUUCUUAAGUCUGAUGUGAAAGCCCCCGGCUCAACCCGGGGAGGGUCAUUGGAAACUGGGGAACUUGAGUGCAGAAGAGGAGAGUGGAAUUCCACGUGUAGCGGUGAAAUGCGUAGAGAUGUGGAGGAACACCAGUGGCGAAGGCGACUCUCUGGUCUGUAACUGACGCUGAGGCGCGAAAGCGUGGGGAGCGAACAGGAUUAGAUACCCUGGUAGUCC
This 295-nucleotide ribosomal RNA is filed under the name uncultured microorganism. RNAcentral's name for it is "partial 16S ribosomal RNA". It matches the Rfam family "Bacterial small subunit ribosomal RNA", at positions 505 to 796 of the family's 1533-position model. The record is from RNAcentral.